RNAcentral lists this ribosomal RNA (698 nucleotides) under uncultured organism. Its description in RNAcentral is "bacterial SSU rRNA". It matches the Rfam family "Bacterial small subunit ribosomal RNA", at positions 72 to 814 of the family's 1533-position model. The record is from RNAcentral.
CCCCUUCGGGGUGAGCGGCAGACGGGUGAGUAACGCGUGGGAACGUACCCUUUGGUUCGGAAUAGCCCUUGGAAACGAGGAGUAAUGCCGGAUAAGCCCUACGGGGGAAAGAUUUAUCGCCGAAGGAUCGGCCCGCGUUAGAUUAGCUAGUUGGUGGGGUAAAAGCCUACCAAGGCGACGAUCUAUAGCUGGUCUGAGAGGAUGAUCAGCCACACUGGGACUGAGACACGGCCCAGACUCCUACGGGAGGCAGCAGUGGGGAAUCUUGGACAAUGGGCGAAAGCCUGAUCCAGCCAUUCCGCGUGGAUGAUGAAGGCCUUAGGGUUGUAAAAUCCUUUCAGCGGGGAAGAUAAUGACGGUACCCGCAGAAGAAGCCUCGGCUAACUCCGUGCCAGCAGCCGCGGUAAUACGGAGGAGGCUAGCGUUAUUCGGAAUUACUGGGCGUAAAGCGUCCGCAGGUGGAUAUUCCAGUCUGAUGUCAAAGCCCGGGGCUCAACUCCGGUACUGCCUUGGAAACUGAAUAUCUAGAGUGCCGUAGAGGUAUAGGGAAUUCCCAGUGUAGCGGUGAAAUGCGUAGAUAUUCGGAAGAACAUCAGAGGCGAAAGCGAUCCACUGGACCGAUACUGACACUCAGGGACGAAAGCUAGGGGAGCGAAUGGGAUUAGAUACCCCGGUAGUCCUAGCUGUAAACGAUGGAU